This 91-nucleotide non-coding RNA is filed under the name Lactococcus cremoris subsp. cremoris TIFN6. RNAcentral's name for it is "Lactococcus lactis subsp. cremoris TIFN6 Bacterial small subunit ribosomal RNA". It matches the Rfam family "Bacterial small subunit ribosomal RNA", at positions 1 to 88 of the family's 1533-position model. The record is from Rfam by way of RNAcentral. Lineage: Bacteria; Bacillati; Bacillota; Bacilli; Lactobacillales; Streptococcaceae.
UUAUUUGAGAGUUUGAUCCUGGCUCAGGACGAACGCUGGCGGCGUGCCUAAUACAUGCAAGUUGAGCGAUGAAGAUUGGUGCUUGCACCAA